Molecule: unclassified non-coding RNA, 236 nt
Filed under: uncultured bacterium
Lineage: Bacteria
Description: 16S-23S ribosomal RNA intergenic spacer
Source: RNAcentral
CUAAGGAGUAGUUGUUUUUUUAUUUUUUCCAGUUGGACGCACAUCCUUUUUGUGGGUGUGUACCGCAAACAGGUAAUACCUACGCAUGCUGUGUGGUGUGUGUGGGUGUGGGUUGUUGUUGCACUGUUGGGUCUCUGGCGCAGCAUGGUUGUUGUGUUGGUGUGUGAGAACUGUAUAGUGGACGCGUUUUUUGUUUUUUCUUGUUGUUAGUGUUUCUUUGUAUCAGGUGUUUGUGU